Molecule: ribosomal RNA, 123 nt
Filed under: Pteropus vampyrus (large flying fox)
Lineage: Eukaryota; Metazoa; Chordata; Mammalia; Chiroptera; Pteropodidae
Source: RNAcentral
GUCUACAGCAUGCACUGAUGUGCCCCUGAUGUGCCCAUCUCCUCUGAUCUCAGAAACUAAGCAGAGUCAGACUGCUUAGUACUUGGAUGAGAGACCACCUUGGAAUACCAGGUACUGUAGGCA